This 27634-nucleotide long non-coding RNA is filed under the name Populus trichocarpa (black cottonwood). Its description in RNAcentral is "long non-coding RNA (PTRI_LNC004528)". Lineage: Eukaryota; Viridiplantae; Streptophyta; Magnoliopsida; Malpighiales; Salicaceae. The record is from RNAcentral.
GCUCAAAAAGUAUGGAGAGCUUCUGCUGUCUUUAUCAGUAUGUAAAAUGAUGAGAACUAUUUAUGUGCGGAAAAUAAAUAAAGUUCUCCAGUGGAUUCGAAGAAGCAAGCAACGUUGGGUGCUUAAAAAGUAUGGACGGCUCAUAGUGUCUUUAUCAAUGUGUAAAAUGUUAUUUUGAUAUGGGAACUAAUUAUGUGAGAAAAAUAAAUAGAGUUCUUAGUGAGUUUCAUGGUAUCUUUUGAGGUUUUAAUUUCGGGCAUUAUGCAGUCCUCUUAUUUGUAAUCUCCCACGAGAAUUAUUAAUGAAGUUCAAUUAUGCCAAACAAAAUUAAUGCUUAAUUUAACGUUUUUUCAUGUAAAAAUCAGUUUGAAAAUUAGGUUAAAUCACAAAAAUAAACACUCUCUGAAACUCUAAUACCAAAAUAAAAAUAAAAAUCAUCACAUCAUGUUUUCAUACAACAAAAAGAAAUUUCAAAAAAAUAUAUAUGUAAUAGCAUGCACUUUGGCUUUAACAACAAGUUUGUUAGAGCCAUGAGAACUAGGCCAAUAUUUCAAAAAAUUCUAAAAAAGCUUUUUGUCUUCUUUUAGUAUCUGAGAUUACGAAUUUAUACGUAAAACGUAUUCAUAAUAUUAAAAAUAUAGUUUUCAUAUAGACGUUAGAACAGUUAAGUUUUUACCCGAUAAGAUAAGGACUUCCUUACUGAGGAGGAUUUUCCUUAAACCAUAGACAGACCAACAACUAGAAAUACAAUAACACCUUAGCUUUUAUCAGACAAUCAAACAAUGCAGCUUAUCUUAGGUAAGGCAUAUUUGGGGUGCUAAUAUCUUCUCUUUGCGCAAUCAGUCCCCGUACCCGAUCUCUGAGACCAGUUAGGGUUUCUAGUGACCAAAAUACUAGGUGGCGACUCCCAUUCCAUUUUUCACUGAUAAACAACAAGAAUUUCUUGUCUCCUUUUAUUUGCCAGAUAAAGAUAUAGAUACAUCCUAGAUUUAAAGUGAAACUAUUUUCACAGCGACGCCGCACACGUACAACAUCCUUGUUCCAUAUAUUGAACACAUCAAUCUUUAGAAAACAAAAAAAAAAUCAUAAUGUUCUAAUUUUUCAUAUACGUUGUUUUCAGUUAUUUUUUUUAUUCUAAUUUAAUUAGAAUUUCUCAGAGCUCGAGAUGUACGCAGAACGGGCGGCUAAUCCCAACUGCAUACAUUAGAAAAGGAAGAAAGAAAGUUUGGAAGGUGUUACAAAUCAAAGAAAGUCUAAAAUUUAAUAUUUAAAUGGAGCUCUGCUACUAAAGUUAGAAGGUAAGUACUUUGGCAAGGAAUUUGUAACCUAUGAAACAUUUUUUAGAGCUGCGGAACACUGUCAGUGUACACAUUUUAUCUUCUCUAAAAGCAGGUUAGAAAGUAAAAAAUGGCUUGAAAUUUAAAAAGUUUUUUUAUUCAUCUAUAAUAUUGUUUUUAUCUUUUGUAUGAAUGAAUUUUAUUUUUAAAAAUAAAAAAAUUAUUUUAGAUAAUAUUUCUAAUAUGUGCAGUCGUGCAUAAUGUUUUUUUCUAUUUUAUUCUAUUCAAUCAAUUUAAUUUGUGUUUUUAUUUUUAUUAUUAUUUUUUAAAAUAAAAAUAUUAUUUUAAUAAAUGAAUUUAGCAAAUACAAUCAGGUAAAUAUCUCAUAUUUUAGGAUUAAAUAUUUUGAUGUAUGAUUCUUCACUUUUCAAGUUUUAUACAUGUAGAUGCAAUUGCAUUCAUACUUUCGAAGUUAUAAUUAACUCUAUUUUUUUGUGGUAGAUUCAAUAUGAGGUGGUAAGUUUUGAUGAUCAUGUGUGCCUUUGCGUAAAACGUUGUUACUAAUUAAUUGGGGAGGUGAAAUAGCAAAGGAAUUAAAGCACAUAACAGCAGUAAGGCAUCCAUUUACUAUGGUAUAUCACAUGCAUGCACUUAUAAAUUAACCUAACACGUUAUGUUUUGCCUAGAGACCUCUGAAGGUGGAACCUGUUACCGUUAGUCAACCAGCUAGUCUUCGGCCUUUUAUAUUAAUUCAGGAUAUCGUCUUCCACGCAUUUUUAAGCUUAAGGUCCACGAUCAAAUUUCAGUGCGCAGUGUCACGUGCAAUACCUUAGAAAAUGAUACCUCAAUUUUGUACUUAUGAAGUAUGUUUUGCUUGGAAACCUCUGAAGGUGGGGCCUGUCACCGUGAGUUAACAGCUAGUACUCUUCAGCUUUACUAAUGCUGAAUAUCGUCUUCCAUAUAUUAUGAAAGCAUAUUAUGAUCUUCCAUCAUAUGUGGAUAGAAUCCACUCUUACUUAUCAAAGGUGGCUUAGUCAAUAAUGCGAAGUAUUUGAUACGUUCGUUAAUUAUCUUGGGCACGGGAGGACUUAAUUUCAAGAAUAGUUGAAAAUCUGUUUGAAAAUUAGGUUGAAUCACAAAAUUAAACACUCUCUGAAACUCUAAUACCAUAUCAUCUUAGCUUAAGUUUCUACAUAAAACUUUAAAGCCUCUUUUAUCUCUCAAAACCAUGUUCAAACUAUUAGUUUCUAUUUGUCUGCACUAUUUCUGUUUGGUUGCCUAGAAAAAAUGGGACAGGUUAAAAAAAAUUGAAGUAUGGUAAACUGCACAGCCCUUGUUUGAGUGGGGUUUUUUCCUUUAAUUUUGUCAAAUGACAUGGAAAAGAAAGUGAUUUCUUAAUUUAUAAAGAAUCUCUCUAUUAUUUUUUAUUUUAUUUUCCAUUAAUGCAAUACUCAGUUGAACAUGUCUCUUCGGGCUGUAAUAUUAACAUGUAAUAUUUUAAUUGUUUUUUCAAUCAUUGAUUUUUAUUUCUAAUUUUCUCGGUCUUUACCAACCAAAAAAUAUUAUCAAUAAAUAGUGACUAAAAUAGCAACAUUAUUUUUUAUUGAAAAACAUCACCAUAAUUUAUCGAUGAUAUUUUUUUUUGUUAGUAUUUAAUAAUUUUCUAACAUUGACUAGAGUUUUAAAGGAUACCAAUCGUCCCACCAUAGAUGAGUGGUCUUACCAUUUCAAACGGUUUGAUGAAUUGCUUUUGUACUGUUAGAGAAUAAUAUAAAUUAUAUCUUGAGACCUCAUUUAACAUCUUAAACUUUUAGGUUGAAUUGGUUUUUUGAUAUGGUAUCAGAGCCUUGAUGACUAAGCGGUCACGAGUUCAAAUCUCACCACCCUCAUUUAUUUGAGAAAAAUUAAAGAUAAGAUAAUAUGAGCUCAAGCCCAAAAGGCUUUCUUUUGAGGGUGUGUGUUAGGGAAUAAUGAGUUGAAUUAGUUCUUUAACACGUACAAAUGUUAUAAGCUAGAGUAAUUAUCAUCGAUGUUAAGAAUAACUAUUGGGUACUUUAUGGCUCCAAAAGCUAUUGCAUAAAUGUAAUUACAUCAUUUUUAAGCAACUUUUGUACUAGUUGUUAGUAGUAUAUUGGCUCUUGCUCCGCAGCAGAUCAAUAUUAAGAAUAUAGUAAAUAUUUUAAUAGCCUUGAGUCAAGUAGCAUGCUAGACCCAAGGUGUUUAGGUCUGGCGUAGUUGUCAAACCCAAGUCUCUUGGGUCUGGAGUGGUUGUCAGACCCAAGUAGCUUGGGUUAGGCAUGGUAGCCAGACCCAAGGCGCUUGGGUCUGACAAUAACACCAGACACAAGCUACUUUUUUUUAUCUUUUCUGAGGCUAAAAGUGUUAUUUUAUUAUAUAUGAAAAUUGUAAAAACUUGAAAUACCCUUUUUUGGGAGCAUAUCCUUUUUUAUUAUUAUUUUGGGGACAAAUAAGUAUUUUUAUUGUUAUGAAUAUUGUGAAAAACCAAGAAAGUCCUUGGUCAACAGUUCUAAUUUUUGUUGACUUUAGGGGUAAAAGAGUACUUUAAUUGUGUCUCAAGCACCUUGGGUCUGACAGUCUUGCCAGACCUGCGCACAAUAAACUAGUGGGAUAAUUAUGCACUUUAGUUGUCAGGAGAGAGAAAAUAAAGAAAGAACGCAAACAAUCAAUCACCAAGGGGCAAUCCAAUCAUUAUCUGGCUACGCGCGCUAUACCAUUUGCAAGAGGGCACGACUAUGCUUCUAAUUAGAUGGUGGUUGGCCAGAUUUGACCACUGAGAAGCAUCAUACGCGUCUCCUUAAUGGCAUGGGCACUGCCCAUUUGCUAGGGCAUGAGGAACACUAGCCCGCAACUUUUUGAUUAAAAAAUAACAAGUACAUCGUGACAAUACUAUAAAAUGCGUCGUUUCAUUUAUAUAUGAUAUGGCGCCAACACGUCAACUUCCAAAUCAAUCCCCAAUUUAUCCUUUGUCCGCUCAAGUCCUCAAAUGCAAUUUUGAUUUUAAGAAUCAAUUCAAUUACAUCCCUGCCAACUUCAAUCGCCGGCCCUAUAGUUGGUCGUCUUUCCCACUUUCGUCCUUGGUUUCUGAUUUAUGCAAUUUGACUCUCAAUUGAUCAAUAAACUUUUAAUUCUUCAAUUUGGCCCCUGAUUUGGUUAAUUACAGCCCCUCUAUUUACGCGUCUUUUCUAGUUUGGUCCUUGGUUUUGGAUUUCUUCAAUUAGGUCCCUAAUUGGCCAUCAAACUUCAAUAUUUAUGCAAUUAAGCCCCUGAUUUGACCAAAUUAACUCUCAAAAAUUAUAAUUUGACCCCAUAACUUUAAUUUAUUCCAAUUAAAGCCCAAAUUGACUUAAAAAUUAAUUUUUCUUGCAAUUAAACCCUCUAUAAAUUCAAUUAAACUUUCAAUAAAUCCAAUUGAGUCUAUAAACAUCCAAUUUUGGACUUUUCUCCCCAAAUUGAAUUUUCUUUUCCAACAAGGCUCUCAUCAUUCAAGUAUAUACUGUCAAAAUUUCAAUCCUUGUAUUUUUGAACCUCCUUAAUCAAUUUUUCUGACCAUUUUCUGAGCACUCCAACCUCCUACUGUUAUUUCCAAUUUCUUCCGACCAUAUAUUUAUAUUUAUUUUUAUUAUUAUAUUUUUAUUUUUAUUUUUUGUAUGGGGACCCAAAAAUGGGUUACAACACAAACAAUCGAUCACCAGCGAUAAUCCAACCAUUAUCUAGCUACACGUGCCACACUAUGUGAAAGAGGGCACGACUACGCUUCCAAUUAGAUGGCGAUUGAUCAUAUUUGGCUACUAGGAAGAGUCCUAUGCACCUCCUUAGUGGCACGGGCACUGCGCGCUCGUUAGGGCGUGAGGAAUACUGGCCCGCAGCUUUUCAAUUAAAAAUAAUAAAUACAUCAGAUCGUGAACAUACUAAAACGCCCUCAUGGUCCUUUUAAUUACACAAACAUCCAUAUAAAAAUACCAAAAUAUCCCCGAAUGUAAAGUUUUUUUUUUUUGAAGCUAAAAGCAUUAUAUGACUGUACUUGGAAAUUGAAAAAAUCCGAAUACCCUUGUAAUAGAAAGUCAAAGAAACAUCUCGUGAAAAUAUGAGAAAUUAAAAGUAAAACGACUAUUAUAAUCUACAGUAAAAAAUCUUUUAAUCUAUAGUGAUUUCCUCACACCAUUUAGUUUUUGUUAUAAUUGAAUUGUUCUCGUGAAAAUAUUGGAAUUUAUAAAUAAUUUUUAUACAAGGUGUCUUAUAUCUAUGUAAGAAUGAGAAGUAUAAUUUAGGAUUAUCUAAGUGGUAUGGUUGAGGGUAAGUAUGUACGAAGUAAUCACAUCUAACACUAUCUUCUUUAACCAUGUUGAGCGCGACAUGACAUGAAUGGAAGAUGGUUACGUGAAUAUGCUUUUAGGGGCUGUUUAUUUUUAUUUUAUUUUUAAAAAAAAGCCAUGUUUUGUGAUUUCUUUUUAAAAAAAUAUUGUUUAAAAUUAAGUUUUUUAUAUUUUUAAAUAUGUCAAUAUCAAAAUUAAUUUUUAAAAAAUAAAAUAAAAAUAUUAUUUUCAUAUAUUUCUGAAUGAAAAGUAUUUUUAAAAAUAAUUGUUAUAUAUAACACUUAUAAACACUAUCUUAAUAUAUAAAUGACCCAGCAAGCUGAGAUUAUAUUAUGACUUGGGGUAAUCCUCAUAGUGUGGCUUGGUGAACAUGUAGGGUUUGGACAAUGCUUUCACCAUAGUGUGGCUUGACAUAAACUUAGGAAGAGUACACGAAGAUGCCUUUUGUCUAUAUGUGACUUGGAGUAUAGAAUCAUAGAUACUUCUUUUGUAUUGACUUGGAGUCAACGUGCAUGGAAGCAAGUUGAGUAUAAAAGGAUCCAGAGAGGCGAUAUUUAUGGAGUAACGUCGCCUACAAGUCUACAAUGGUGUCCUAAGGAGGCUAAAAUUAACGGUGCUGGUAAUAUUAAGUACAAAACUAAAAUGUGUGAGUUUUUUUUACCGUGUAUUCAUAUAUUAUUAUGGAUUAAAUGUGUAAACUCUUGAGGUUUUUUCUUUUAAAUUAAUGAAAAAACAUAUAUGAAUUGGAUUGAUUUUUUAUUUUAGGUUGAUUUUAGUUUUUAGAACAGUUUUUUAAAGUCAAUGAUAGAUUUAUCAUGGUUCCUAAGAUAUUUUGAAGGUAUUUUAAGUAAACAAUUUGAAAAUGAGUUUUUAGGUAAAAAAAGUUAAGCCCUGAUUUUCCAGUCAUUGUGGUGACCGGAAUAUAAGCAAAUCAAACACCUUGUCCUCUAUUUUUUUUUCAAAAAAAAUUAGGACGGAAGACAUGCUACAAAAAAAAUAAGAGCUCAAUCACGGGGGGUCUGCCACUGCAGGCUCACAUGGGGAACCUAACAAAAUGGGUGAGCCUGGCUUUUUUUUUUGUAAAUUUUUUUUUAAUUUGUUUGUUUUUUCUCUAUAUUUUUUUAUUUUUCAAAUUAUAUUUAUAAUAUGUGCAACCGCGCAUGGUGUUUUUUUCCUCUUUUAUUUUAUUCAAUCAAAUACCUUAGAAAAUGAUACCUCAAUUUUGUACUUAUGAACUAUGUUUUGCUUGGAAACCUCUGAAGGUGGAGCCUGUCACCGUGAGUCAACAGCUAGUCUUCAGCUUUAUAUAUUAAUGCAUAUUAUUAAUUAAAGCAUAUUAUUAUCUUCCAUCAUAUGCGUGGAUAGAAUGCACUCUUACUUUUCAAAGGUGUCUUAGUCAAUAAUGCGAAGUAUUUGAUACGUUCGUUAAUUAUCUUGGGCACGGGAGGACUUAAUUUCAAGAAUAUAUAGUUCCCUUCGAAUGCUGCUAAAAAUCAUGGUGGCUAUAAACAAGAGAGGUGGAGAUAUAGGAGAGCAUAACCAUGUUAGUCCCAUAUAUUUCCAAGAUGAAGGCCUUUCUUAUCGCAUGCAUUCUCUUAGCUACCAUCGUCUUCUCUCCCCUGUCCACUUGCACUGCUCGAGAAUUGGCCGAGCGAGGUGAGAUUUUAUUUCCAUCAUUAACUUCAGAAAAGCAGUUCAUUUUGUGUGCGUGUGCGUGUAGUCUCUUUGUGUAUUGCAGCGUUAAUUAACUUAAGAUAAGCAUUUCAUGUUAUAUAUUAUUUAAUUAAUCUGUCGUGGGCUAUCUUAUAUAUAUAAAAAAGAUGAUUCUGCUAUAAUAUCAGAUUAUGUCAACAUGAAUUUGCUAUAACAUGCGUGAAUCUUGCAGACGUAUCCCGGGGAGCUCUCAACCCCCAUAAACCAGUGUACGGUUGCGGAAGGGGUAAUCGAUAUUGCGUACCUAAAACACCAAGAGGUUGCCCAAAUCCUUACAAGCGUAAUUGUGGGCGCCAUUAAGAUUAGAAGCAAGCAAAGUUGAGUACUGCUUAAAAGUAUGGAGAGCUAUACUACUAUCUUUAUCAAUAUGUAAAAUGAUCAGAACUAUCUAUGUGAGAAAAAUAAGCAAAGUUCUCCAGUGGAUUAGAAGAAGCAAGCAAAGUUGUCUGCUUAAAAAGUAUGGACGGCUCAUCGUGUCUCUAUCAAUAUGUAAAAUGUUAUUUUGAUAUGGGAACUAUUUACGUGAGAAAAAUAAAUAGAGUUCUUAGUGAGUUUCAUGGUUUCUUUUGAGGUUUUAAUUUCGGUCACUAUGCAGUCCUGAUCUUUUGAGGUUUUAUUAAUGAAGGAAUCCAAAAUAAUAAUAAUAAUAAUAAUAAUAAUAAUAAUAAUAAUAAUAGGAGUGAGAAAAUGAUGUUGGAUUACCCAUAAAAUGUUUAAAAAUACAAUAAUUGAAAUUUGACAGUAUAUUUUUAACUUGUGAGAGUCAUGUUGACAAGAAAAAUUCAAUUUGAGGAAGAAAAGUUCAAAAUCAGAUGUUUAUGGACUCAAUUAAAUUUUAUCUAAGGUUUAAUUGAAUUUAUGGAGGGUUUGAUUGCAAGAAAAAUUGAUUUUUAAAGUCAAUUUAGGCUUUUAUUGGAAAAAAAAAAGUUAAAGUUCUGGGGUCCAAUUAUAAUUUUAAAGAGUUGAUUUGGUCAAAUUAGAGGCUUAAUUACAUAAUUAUUGAAGUUUGAUGGUCAAUUAAGGACUUAAUUGAAACAAUCCCGAAACCAAGGACCAAACCAGAAAAGGCGAUAACAUUAAGGGACCCAAUUGCAAUGUUUCCUGGGUUUGAUUACAAAAUUGCGAAACUUUCAAGGACCAAAUCAGAAGACUCCAAACGGCGCCGUUUCCAUUGAAGCACUACUCACUGUCUUCUCAAACAUGGCAGCUGUGGCGUUAAAGGCAGGAGACGUUAGCAGCGAUAAUGGAGCCGCUUCAAUCAGGGGGCAUGUCUCACGCCACCAUGUACGGCGGCCGUUACUUUGUUGCCAGAAAACUUCUGCAUCCUCUGGCUAUAAAAGCCAGAGGAAGGAUCGAGCAAAGGGGAGAAAAAAAGGGAGGAGAAAGCAAGGAGACAGCAGAAAAAAAAAACAGGGUGGGAAAAAAGGAAAGAGAAAAGAACAGAGGGGAAAGGAGACGAGGAGGACGCAGACACACCAGAAAAAAAGAACAGGGAGAAUAAAGAAAGGAAACAGAGGGAUGCGCACUGGGUAGCACAGGGAGAAGGAAGCAGGGGAGAGGGACUGUUGAACCUCUUUCAAAACCGCAGGAUCCGUGAUCAAGCUCAGACGAAUUGGAAAAGAAACACGAAUACCAGUAGCAAGGAAAAACAGACGAAGAGGAAGAACCAGAGGAAAAGCAAACGAAACAGGGAAGAUAUAAAUCCAAAACAUGUUGCUGUCUUCGUCUUGCUUCCAGGUAACUCCAGCUUGGCAAAAUAAUGCACAAAAUACUGUGCACUUGGAAUUAGAGGUGAUCAUUUUCGGUUCGGUUUUUAUCAAAAAAAGUAACCAAACCGAAAUUUUUUUUUUUUAAAAAAAACCGAAACCGGGUCAAACCGACCGGUUUCGGUUCGGUUCGGUUUUUUAGGGCAAAAACCGGUUCAAACCGGUUUGGCUUGGUUUUUCUGGUUUUGGCUCGGUUUUUUCCGGUUUGGCUCGGUUUUUCCGGUUUGGCUCGGUUUUGGCUCGGUUUGGCUCGGUUUUUUUUCCGGUUUUUUCGGUUUCGGUUCGGUUCAGUUCGGUUUUUUGCUUAUAAAACCGAAACCGAACCGAACCGGCCAGUUUUUUCAAAAAUUUAAUCGGUUUAAUCGGUUUUUUUUUUCGGUUCGGUUUUUUCGGUUUUUUUUUCCGGUUUUCUCGGUUUAAUCAGUUUUCCGGUUUUUUUACUCACCCCUACUUGGAAUUUAAUUACAUGGUGGCUGCAGCCAGCGUGCGUGAAGAAGUCACGCACGCUGGUGGGUAGAAUCCAGCUGGGUCACUGGUUUGGACCAGUGACCCGGCUAAGCCUGCUGGGUCCAGCCCAGCCACAUGGGCCGAGCUAGACCCAGCCCAAAAAAAUCCAAAAAUCUCUUCAAAAAAUUUAUGAUUUUCUUGUAUAUUUUUUACUGCAUUUGAUCAAUAUUGGUUUGUAUUUUUAUAAUGUAAAGAUACAAAUCCGGUAUUAAAAUACUUGGUUUUCGUCAAAACACAAAAAAGUAAUAAAUAAAUAAAUAAUGUUUUGUUUUCAUGCAUACGGCCAAGUAUCUCAAAGAAAAAAAAAUCAUAUUUUCAUAUAACAAAAAUUCAAAAAAUAGGUAUUAGUAUGCAUUUUGGCUUUAAUAACCAGUUUAUUAAAGUUACGAGAACUAGGCCAAUAUUUCAAAAAUUCAAAAAAAUUAUUUUGUUUUCUUUUAAUAUCUAGGGUUACGACCUUAUACGUAAGACGUAUUCCGGAUAUUAAAUUCUUUUGUUGAUAUUAGAACGGUUAGGUUUCACCCGAUAAGAUAAGGAUGUCCUUAUCAAGGAGAACUUUUCUUAAAUCAUAGACGGACCAACAACUAGAAAACACGACAAGACCUUAGAUUUUAUCAGACAAUAAAACAAUGCAGUCUACCUUAGGUAGGGCGUAUUUGGGGUGCUAAUACCUUCCCUUUACGCAACCAGUCCCCGUACCCGAUCUCUAAGACCAGUUAGGGUUCAUAGUGACCAAAAUACUAGGUGGUGACUCCCAUUCCAAUUUUUCCACUAAUAAAAGACAAGAAUUUCUUGUCUCCCCAUAUUUGCCAUAAUUUUAGAUAAUACAAAAUUUUGAGGGUGGAUGUUUUCGCCGCACACGUGCGACAAUUAAAGUGCCAAAGGAUACCAAUCGUCCCACCACUACCAGAAAAUCGAUAAAUACAAACAGAAAUACCGAGGGAAUAUUUUCGUCGGUGAAUUGCCGACGGAUUUUACCAAUGGAAAUAUUCCCUCGUUAUUUACUGACGGAAAUAUUCCCUCGGAAUUUACCGACGGAAUUACAGUGGGAAAAAUAAUUAAAACAAAGCAAAAAAAUGAUGACGUGCCAUUUUUACCAACGAAAUUACCGACGAAAUAAAAUAAUUGGUAAACUGUCAACACUAUUCAUCAUGUUAAUUACGAAUGGAAUCACCGAGGGAACAUUCCAUCGGUAUUUUACAGAGAGCUUUGGAACUAUUCACUUCCCAAUUGCACUGUUAAUUACUGUUCUUUACAGAAAAAAUCACCGACGGAUUGAAAAGUCGUCGAUGUUAUAUGGUGGUUUUCUGAAAAAUUUAAAUUAAAUAUUACAGACGGAAUCACUGACGGAAUGAAAAGUUAUCGGUGAUAUUUGACGGUUUCUGAAAUGUUUUUAUUAAAUUCAAAAUUUAAAUUAAAUAUUAUAGACAGAAUCACCGACGGAAUGAUUAAAAAUAUUAAUAUUUAAUUAUCCAUAAGUAAAAUUAUCGGUAAACGCCCCAAUAAAAAGCCUAGAAUCUCUAAUUUCACAACAGACCCGUCUUCUUUCUUCUUCUUUUUUUCUUCUCUCUCCUCAACUCCUUCUCUUGUCCUCCAUGCUCAGGUAUGUCUUCUUCUUCUUCUUUUCUUCUCUUCUCUCCUCAACUCCUUCUCUUCUCCCCCAUACUCAAGUAUGUCUUCUUCUCCUUUCUUAUUUUUUCUUCUCAGUUUUUUUUAAUUAGUAUACUUUACAAAUUUUUUUUUCUCUUCUUAGCUUCACUUGCAACUACAUUAAGGUAAAAAAACAUUUCUUCUUUUUUCGUGUUUUUUUCACUAUAUUUGUUUUUUAUUUUAUUUGUAAUUGCUUUUUUCUUAAUAAUUGUAUGAAUUUUGUUGUAGGAUUCAUUUUUUCAUAUAAGAUCAAUUUUUAGUUGAUUUCUUUAUAGGAUUUUUAAACUUUUUUCAUAUGAAUUUUUUUAGUUGAAUUUAUUUUUUCACGUUAUUUAUUUGUUGCAAUUUUUUUUUAUUUGAUUUUCUUCUUUUUUCCAAGAAUUUUGAGUAUUAUAGACUGUUGAUUAAUAAUUAUUUUAUAUUUUUGUAAUAUAUAUAUAUAUAUAUUAAAUAUUUUUAAAUAAUUACCGAUGGAAUUACAUACGGUUUGUUUCCGAGGAAAUUACCAAUGGAAUGAAAUAGUUUUUUUUUUGCUUGCUUUUUUCGUUAGUAAAUCCAUCUGUAAUAAUAUUUUUUUAUUACCAACGGACUUACUGACGGACAAAAAAUUACCAACGAAAGAUUAACCGAUGGAGACUUUCCGUCGGUGAUUUUGUCGGUGAGUUUUUUACCAAUGAAAUGGUAGUGCAAAUACUGACAGAAAAUUUCGUCGGUAAAUCUAAAGAUUUUGGUAGUGCACCUUAGAUGAGUGGUCUUACCAGUUGAAACGGUUUGAUGAAUUUGCUUCCAUACAAAUGUUAUAAGCUUGAGUAAUUUUAAUCGGUGUCAAGAACAACUAUUAGGUACUUUAUGGCUCCAAAAGCAAGUAAUUAUAUAAUCUUUAAGCCGCUUUUGGAUCAGUAGUUAGUAGUAGAUUAUAUAAUCUUUAAGCUGCUUUUGGAUCAGUAGUUAGUAGUAUAUUGUCUCGCACUAUGAAUUAAUAUCAAAUUUUAAAAAAAAAUGUAAAAGAAAUAUUAAGAGUAUAGAUAAUGUUUUAAUAGCCUUGGAUCAAGUAGUUAUGUCAGAUUCAAGGCUCUUAGGUCUGAAAUGGUUGUCAAACCCAAGUAGCUUGGGUCUGGUGUGGUAGCUAGAUGCAAGGCGUUUGGGUUUGGCAAAAACGCUACACGCAAGCUUCUUUUUUAUUUUUUAUGCUAAAAACGUUAUUUUACUGUAUAUGAAAAUUGUAAAAACCUGAAAUGCCCUUUUUCGGCAGCCUAUCUUAUAUAUAUAUAUAUAUAUAUAUAUAUAUAUAUAUAUAUUUGAGGCAAAGAAGUAUUAUUACUAAUACGAAUAUUGUGAAAAGCCAAGAAAGUCAUGGGUUAACAGUUCUAAUUUUUAUUAACUCUAGGGGUUAAAGAGUACUUUAACUAUGUCCUAGGUGCCUUGGGUCUAGCAGCCUUGCUAGAUUGGCAUCUAGAUCUGCAACCAUGCCAGAUCGUGUUGGGGUCUGCCACACCCACGCAUGGGUCUGGCAACCAUACUAGAUCCACGCACAACAAACAAAAUGGAUAAUUGUGUACUUUAGUUAUUAGGAGAGAAAAAAAAAAUAGAAGAAAAAACACAAACAAUCGAUCAUCAGCGGCAAUCCAACCAUUAUCUAGCUACACGCGCCAUACUAUGUGGAAGAGGGCACGACUAUAAGCUUCCAAUUAGAUGGUCGUUAGCCAUAUUUGGCUACUAGAAUGUUGUAACCCAUUUUUGGGUCCCCCCAUAAAAAUAAAAAUAUAUAGCCGGAAGAAAUUAGAAAAAUAAUAAGAGGUGGGAUCGCUCAGAAAGGAUCAGAAAAAAAUUGAUUAAGGACGUUCAGAAAUGCGAGUGAAAUUUUUUACAGUAUAUUCUUGAAGAAGGAGAGCCCUGUUGGAAGAGAAAAUUAAUUUGAAGAGAAAAGGGUCAAAAUUGGAUGUUUAUGGACUUAAUGGAAGGUUUAUUUGAGUUUAUAGAGGUUUUGAUUGCAAGGAAAAAUGAGUUUUUAAGUCAAUUUAGGCUUUAAUUGGAAGAAGUUAAAGUUCUGGGGUCAAAUUAUAAUUUUUGAGAGUUGAUUUGGUUAAAUCAAGGGCCUAAUUGCAUACAUAUUGAAGUUUAAAGGUCAAUUAGGGACUUAAUUGAGAAAAUCCGAAACCAGGGACCAAUUUGGAAAAGGCGCGUAAAUAAGAGGGGCGGUAUUGGAUUUGAUCCGGGGCCAAAUUAAAGAAAUUGAAAACUGGAGGACUGAUUUGAAAAGGGGCAGGAACUGUUCAUUGUCUUCCCCACCGAGCUGCCCGAGUGGCCGACUUCCAGGCGUGUUUUCUGCCUCGUUUGGCCCCCAAAUCCAACAAAGCAUGCACCAACAUAUCCACAUGAAACCCCUUUAUCCCGGAGAAUGGUCCGGUCGGGUCGAAAAGGUUAUAAACGGGUCCGUUCAUUGGCCCGAAGUGGCCACCUCGGGCAGUUCACAGCCUGGAGCUGCCAAAUUUGGCAGCUCGAGGUGCACACUUUGAGCCAACGGUUGAGAUGCUUCCCAACUGAAUCAAGAGCUGUAAUUUUUCCACAACGUUGACAAUAUAGCCCUCUUACACCGCCUAUAAAUAGAAUCUCUGUUGAAGACCUGGGGGGGGAGAAAUUCGGGUCCAAAGUCAGCCAAAAAAACCAGCAUCUUCACCCAAUUUCUGCAGAUUUUUCUUCUUCUUCUUUCUUCCUCUGCCACAGGAAACCGACACCGUCUUCCUCCAACUCCACCGCUGCAACCACUGGCUGAACCACCUCAUCACAGCAGCCACAACCCCUUCGGCCAAGCGAACAGCCAGAGGAAGAAGAAGCAGGGAGGAACAGAGAAGAAAACCCGAAAGGGGGAGAAGAAGGAAAAAGACCCAAAAGAGAGAGAACGGAGAGACGAUAGAGACAGGAGACAUAAAAAAUAAAAUAAAAUAAUAAUAAUAAUAAUAAUAAUAAAAAAAAAAAAAAAUUGAACAGUGUCGUUUUGACACUGUUCCUCUACCCGCCGCGCUCCAUGCCGUUGGAGCCGAACCUCGACAGUAGCACCCAAUGGCCGACCAGCCGCCGCGAGACCCGCUCCCAUGCGCAACAGCAAAAGCCACACCCACUUGCUCUAUAAAUAGCACCCAACACAGUAGAAAAAGAGGGGGGAAAACUUUUUGAAACGGAGAGAGGAAGAAGUUUAAAACGAGGAGAGUUUUGUUGAACGGGAGGGGGCUGGAAAACUAAAAGGGGAGGCGUGUUUUUGGAACGAGAAAGAGAGAGAGCACCCGAAACAGCCUCCUCUGUCAACGGAGCCCCAGACCGACCUCAUUUUCUCCUCCAUCCCAACAGCGGCAGCAACACCAGGAGCCGCACCAACGCUGCCAACGCCCUCAUCAUCUCCUCUAGCCCAGCAGCAGCAACACCAGGAGAAGAGUAGCAGCAGCAACACCAACACCAGGAGGAAGAGCAGCAGCGGCAACACCAGGAGCAGUUGCAGUAACACGCCAACUGCACCAGCAUUGCCAAACGCCACCACCAUCCUGCCUCAGUUCAUCACCUUCCUCCCACCCGGCGUUGCUGCUUGAAGAAAAAGGGAGCACCUGCCUCGCGAGCAGCAGGGGAAGAAGAAGAAGAAAACAACUGCUGUCUUCGGGCAUCCUCUCCAUUGCCAGCAGCACCAUCAAAGCUGCCAAACAACAGCAGAACCACCGCGAGAGGGAAGAGCACCGUGAGAAACAGAAGAAGAAAGGAGAAGCAGAGGAGAACAGAGUAAGGGAAAACACAGUGAAGAAAGGGAAGAAAAGCUCACCACCGUCCAAGCCAUUCUCCGGUCAGCAACCGCCAGCAGCACCGCCAUCAGAGCCACCACAGGUCAGCCCUCUGCCCCUUAUCUCGUUUUACUGUUCAUCUUCUUGCAUGCGGAACGUGCACUGUGCACGUUCUGCAAGCAAGAAAAUAAUUAGCCGGUUACUGUACAUGUGCACAGUAACCAGCUAAUUAAUUAACGGGUUGCUAUGCGUGUACAGUACCCCGGUUACUAUGCGUGUACAGUACCCCGAUGUACAGUGACCCCGUUUACUGUUGUUUUGGGCUGGAACCCCAGCCCAGCCCAUGCUGCUGGGCUGAGUCCAGCCCUGUAGAAAGUAGACCCGUUUUAUUUUGGGCCGAUUUCGGCCCAGUCUCCUUUCGGGCCGGGUCUGGCCCAUUCGAACAAAAAAAUUCUUCAAAAAUUAUUUCAAAAAAAAUGUGAUUUUCUCUAAAUUUAUUACUGUAUUUUGAUCAAUAUCGGUUUGUAUUUUUAUACUGUAAAGAUACAAAUCCGGUAUUAAAAUACCCGGUUUUCGUCAAGACAAAAAAUAAAAUAAGUUAAAAAUGUUUUGUUUUCGUGCAUACGGCCUAGUCUCUCCAACAUAUAUAUAUAAAUAUUAUAACAUCAUAUUUUCACACAACAAAGGAAAUUUCAAAAAAACAAUAUAUGUAUUAGCAUGCAUUUUGGCUUUAAUAACCAGUUUAUUCAAGCCAUGAGAACUAGGCCAAUAUUUCAAAAAUUCUAAAAAAUCUUUUUGUCCUCUUUUAGUAUAUGGGAUUAUGAAUUUAUACGUAAAACGUAUUCCUGAAAUUAAAAAUAUGUUUUUUACAUAGACAUUAGAACGGUUAGGUUUUUUACCCGAUAAGAUAAGGACCUCCUUAUUGAGGAGGACUUUUCUUGAACCAUGGACGGACCAACAACUAGGAAACACAACGAGACCUUGAAUUUUAUUAGACAAAUGAACAAUGCAGCUUACCUUAGGUAGGGCGUAUUUGGGGUGCUAAUACCUUCCCUUUACGCAACCAGUCCCCGUACCCAAUCUCUGAGACCAGUUAGGGUUCCUAGUGACCAAAAUACUAGGUGGCGACUCCCAUUCCAUUUUCCACCAACAAAAGACAAUAUUUUCUUGUCUCCCCAUAUUUGUCAGAUAGAUACCAUACACCACUUCCUAGAUUUUAAAGUGGAAAACUCGCCGCGACGUCGCGCACCGUGCGACAGAAUGGCGACUCCACUGGGGACCUUGUGGACUAAGCUUUGUUUUUGUUUGAUUUGUUUUUUGUUCUCUUGUGUUUUUAAUAUACCUUUCCUUUUGUUAUAUGCUUAUAUGCUUUAAAUAUUUUUACACAUAUUGUUCAUGCAUUUGUAUAGAAUUAUCACAUGCAUCACAUACUUUGAUUUGGAGAAGCACACACAAGCUUUAAGUUAGGUGGGGGAUUAGCGAUUUGCCCUAUGACUAUUGGUCAGGGUUCAGAUGCGUGAAACACCCAACUCAUAUCUGAGUGCCUGCUUGGUAAUGGUGGGUAUACGUACUUUAACCGUUCCUUGCGACGCCCCCAUACUGUCUUUACGAAGAACGUCACUGGGCAGAUAUGAGACCCUUUUAAAGACCAGAUAGAAAACCUACCCAUUCUCACCUAUAUAAAUAGAACUUGUCCUUAGGAUAUCUAUCUUACGUUCAUUUGCAUCAUGAUUAAUAAUUCAUCAAUCCAGGUUUUUAAGCCGAAAUCUUGCCUAAAGGAUUACGAAAGUCAUGAAUCGACUUUAAGAUAUACAUUUGCACGAGCAUCAUAUUUGUUUUUAAUUCAUCAUAUGCACGACAGAUCGUGAAACAUAGGUCCCACAUCCAAAGUCCACAACACCCGGUCUAGAUCGAGAAUGGAGAACGAAGAAAGAGCUCACUUAGAGUCACAUUAUCAGACCGAGUUGGAGUCCGUAAAAAAUGAAGUUUCUCGACUAACCGACUUACUCGAGCAGCUUUUAAGAGCUAAGAAUGGGGAGGGAACAUCAGCACAACAACCUGAAGGAGCGCCAGCAGCUCACAUCCCUCAAGCAUCUCAAAACCAGGGGGCAAACUCGGCCAAUGAACAACAUUUUGUGCCUGUCGCCCCUAUCCAGCCAACUCAUUCUCCAGUCACUGUGGACUUAACAGCGGAGGGAAUCCCGGAUAAUAAGUCUCCCGGUUUGAUGGACCAAGACAAGCUGUCUGCUUUGGAAGAAAGAUUACGGGCAAUUGAGGGUAAUGAUUGGUUUGACCCUAUGCGAGCAGCCGAAGUAUGUUUAGUACCAAACAUCGUGGUGCCAAAAAAUUUUAGGAUACCAGAGUUCAUUAAGUAUACUGGUUUGGAAUGCCCAAACACUCACCUUCGAUCCUACUGCAACAAAAUGGCAGAAGUAAUCCAUGAUGAUAAAUUGCUAAUCUAUUUCUUUCAAGAUAGCCUAGCAGGAUCCGCUUUGAGCUGGUACAUGAGGUUAGACAGUGUCAGGAUUAGGAGCUGGAGAGACUUGGUGGAGGCUUUCCUUAAACAGUACAAGUUUAACAUGGAAAUCGCUCCUGAUCGAACAAGUCUAAUGUCAAUGGAGAAAAGGAGCCAAGAGUCGGUAAGGGCCUAUGCGCAAAGGUGGAGAGAUGAGGCAAUGCAUGUCCAACCCCCUUUGAUAGAAACAGAGAUGGUGACCUUGUUUGCCAAUACCUUUAAAGCACCAUAUUAUGAGCACCUAAUGGGUAGCUCAUCUCAGCAUUUCUACGAUGCGGUACGCAUAGCUGAAAGAAUAGAGCAAGGGAUUAAAGCUGGACGUAUAGCUGAGCCAUUGGAGACAAAGGGUUUUAUUGGAAGAAAAAUGGAAGGUCACAUUUACGACUUUGAAGGUGGGUCCAAGGGCAAUAUAGUGGAUUCACUCAACCCACAAAUACCUACCCCUCAUGUUGCCCACAUAAACUUUAACAAACCAUUUUCCUCUAAUCGAGCAAAUAACCAGUCAAACAACCAAAACAACUACCAAAGACCAAAUACAAGGUACAUCUCAGAACAACUACCGCCAUUACCCAUGCCUUUGAAGGAAAUGUAUGCCAAACUACUGAGCAUUGGACAAAUAGCUCCUAUCCCUACAUUACCACUACAACCACCAUUCCCCAUCUGGUAUAAGCCCGAGUUGACUUGCGAGUACCAUGCUGGUAUUCCCGGACAUUGUCUUGAAACAUGCUACGCUUUCAAGAACAUGUUGUUGAAGCUCAUCAAGAUAGGAUGGGUGUCGUUUGAAGACACACCCAAUAUCAAUUCAAAUCCAUUGCCUGGUCAUGAAAAAAGUAAUAGGGGAUAAAGGGUUGGAAAACCUUGGUCAAGAAUCGUCAAUAAUGAAGAAGGCGAGAUCGAAGGAGAAGACAAGGAAACGCAAGUGGGGAAGGAAGAUGAAGCAUUGCCUCGGUUGACUUUACAGAACGGGUUGACCAAGAACUUCUCGUAGUUUUCAAAAUGUAAAACAACUUUAUUUGCCUUAGCAUGUUUUUGUCAUUUGCUUUUGUCAUUGCUUUUAUUUUCUCUAUUGGGCAAUCAGGGCUCAUGUUUUCAGCCAGAUUUUAUGUUUGUCUUUGAGCCUACCUUUUUUUAAUAAAUGAUGAGAUUAUGCACUUUUUAAACAAGGUUGAGUGAUUACAAAGAAUGUAUCAUAAAACGGUUAAAAAUGAAAUUUAAGAAAACAAACCAAAGUUAACCUUGAAGUACAACCCUGCCUUUGGAUAGCAUAAUAAAUUGAUCAAUCACCUGUAAGUUUCUUUCAAGAUAAAAACAGAGUUUAUCAAUCUUAACAAUGUGCAUUUUGAAAUGAAAAAAAAAUUUCAUUAUCCCUUCACUCUCUAAAGAGUAUAUCGUUGGUGGUCCCGUUUGAGCCGAAAUGAUUUUCUUCUUUAUAAAAACAUGGAAUAGGAUCACACCCCACACUGGGGGCAAUAAAAGAUAUUUCAUGAAAAGUUUUAUGUGAUUUUAAAACGGGAUGAGAGCCCGUAGAUUUGAAAACCAAGCUAAAACAUUUGACAAAAGCAUGACAAAGAGGCAAAUACAAGUCAUACAUUUUGAGAAAAGGACUACUUGAAAGACUUCUUCUCCAAGAAUAUGAUAGGCAACACGAGAGAUGAAUUCAGCAUAUGACUUCAAAAGUAAAGCUCAUGUUAAGAGGGAGUCUCAUGAACUAGAAGAAGAGGAUGGGGCCUAUGUUUCAAAACCAGGUACGAAUGCAUGCAUUGCAUCUAAUCAUAAAUCAUUGCAUGUAUGUUUUUUUGGAUCGUUACAGAAGGAGAUCUUAGCGCAUUUCAACAAGAUUAUGGACGAAGAAAGAAUCAUUGAGUUGAUUCUAGAACAACAAGAAGAGAAGAUAAUGGUUUUCAAACCAUGCCAGCAGGAAGAACGACAUCGAUAGCAUUCGGUAGAAAGGAAUCGCCAAAUGGGAUUCCAAGUUGUUGAGAUCGCUAGAAGGGAUCUCGUAUUUCGAUGGAGGUCGCCAGAAGGGACCUUAAAUUUCAGCUUUUGUAUAAAAGGAAUCGCCAGAUGGGAUUCCAAGUUGUUUGGAUAAAGGAGAUCGCCAAAAAGGAUCUUGUAUUUCGAUGAAGGUCGCCAGAAGGAACUUCAUGUUUUAGCUUUGGUAAAAGGGAUUGCCCGAUGGGAUUCCAAGUUAUUUGAGAUCACCAGAAAGGAUCUCAUACUUCGACAUUCAUCAAGAAAGGUCGCUAGAAGGGACCUCGUAUUGAAACUAUUUCUUAGAAAAGCAUGGAGUUUACUAAGAAUUCUUCCCCUUGGGUAGGUCACCCAUACAAUGAGACCAUCAUUUUUCUUGGGUAGGUCACCCAUACAAUGAGACCAUCAUUUUUCUUGGGUUCGUCACCCAUACAAUGAGACCAUUAUUUUUCUUGGGUUCGUCACCCAUACAAUGAGACCAUCAUUUUUCCUGGGUUCGUCACCCAUACAAUGAGACCAUCAUUUUUCCUGGGUAGGUCACCCAUACAAUGAGACCAUCAUUUUUCCUGGGUAGGUCACCCAUACAAUGAGACCAUUCUUCAUCUUUUUUUACCUGGGUAGGUCACCCAUAAUAAUGAGACCACUCUUUCCUUUUCCCAUUCGGGCAGGUCAUCCGUCAUAAUGACACCACAUACGUGUUUUUGUAUUUGGUUAUGGGUAAAGGAAUCGCCAGAUGAGAUUCCAAGUUUUUGGGGUUAAAGGAGAUCACCAGAAGGGAUCUCGAGAUGACUAAAUUUUGAUCAUAGUUUAUGGGAUUCCAAGUUGAGGGGGAUUGCUAUAAAAGACAAGUUUCAGAUCAAUCAAGCUUCAACCAAAUCAGUUUCGGGAGUUCCGUUUUGGGUUUAUCUUUAUAAAACUUACUGCGCAAAACCUCUGCUCCGUAAGCAUUAUAAAGAGGGGGCAUCUGUUGUAACCCAUUUUUGGGUCCCCCCAUAAAAAUAAAAAUAUAUAGCCGGAAGAAAUUAGAAAAAUAAUAAGAGGUGGGAUCGCUCAGAAAGGAUCAGAAAAAAAUUGAUUAAGGACGUUCAGAAAUGCGAGUGAAAUUUUUUACAGUAUAUUCUUGAAGAAGGAGAGCCCUGUUGGAAGAGAAAAUUAAUUUGAAGAGAAAAGGGUCAAAAUUGGAUGUUUAUGGACUUAAUGGAAGGUUUAUUUGAGUUUAUAGAGGUUUUGAUUGCAAGGAAAAAUGAGUUUUUAAGUCAAUUUAGGCUUUAAUUGGAAGAAGUUAAAGUUCUGGGGUCAAAUUAUAAUUUUUGAGAGUUGAUUUGGUUAAAUCAAGGGCCUAAUUGCAUACAUAUUGAAGUUUAAAGGUCAAUUAGGGACUUAAUUGAGAAAAUCCGAAACCAGGGACCAAUUUGGAAAAGGCGCGUAAAUAAGAGGGGCGGUAUUGGAUUUGAUCCGGGGCCAAAUUAAAGAAAUUGAAAACUGGAGGACUGAUUUGAAAAGGGGCAGGAACUGUUCAUUGUCUUCCCCACCGAGCUGCCCGAGUGGCCGACUUCCAGGCGUGUUUUCUGCCUCGUUUGGCCCCCAAAUCCAACAAAGCAUGCACCAACAUAUCCACAUGAAACCCCUUUAUCCCGGAGAAUGGUCCGGUCGGGUCGAAAAGGUUAUAAACGGGUCCGUUCAUUGGCCCGAAGUGGCCACCUCGGGCAGUUCACAGCCUGGAGCUGCCAAAUUUGGCAGCUCGAGGUGCACACUUUGAGCCAACGGUUGAGAUGCUUCCCAACUGAAUCAAGAGCUGUAAUUUUUCCACAACGUUGACAAUAUAGCCCUCUUACACCGCCUAUAAAUAGAAUCUCUGUUGAAGACCUGGGGGGGAGAAAUUCGGGUCCAAAGUCAGCCAAAAAAACCAGCAUCUUCACCCAAUUUCUGCAGAUUUUUCUUCUUCUUCUUUCUUCCUCUGCCACAGGAAACCGACACCGUCUUCCUCCAACUCCACCGCUGCAACCACUGGCUGAACCACCUCAUCACAGCAGCCACAACCCCUUCGGCCAAGCGAACAGCCAGAGGAAGAAGAAGCAGGGAGGAACAGAGAAGAAAACCCGAAAGGGGGAGAAGAAGGAAAAAGACCCAAAAGAGAGAGAACGGAGAGACGAUAGAGACAGGAGACAUAAAAAAUAAAAUAAAAUAAUAAUAAUAAUAAUAAUAAAAAAAAAAAAAAAAAAUUGAACAGUGUCGUUUUGACACUGUUCCUCUACCCGCCGCGCUCCAUGCCGUUGGAGCCGAACCUCGACAGUAGCACCCAAUGGCCGACCAGCCGCCGCGAGACCCGCUCCCAUGCGCAACAGCAAAAGCCACACCCACUUGCUCUAUAAAUAGCACCCAACACAGUAGAAAAAGAGGGGGGAAAACUUUUUGAAACGGAGAGAGGAAGAAGUUUAAAACGAGGAGAGUUUUGUUGAACGGGAGGGGGCUGGAAAACUAAAAGGGGAGGCGUGUUUUUGGAACGAGAAAGAGAGAGAGCACCCGAAACAGCCUCCUCUGUCAACGGAGCCCCAGACCGACCUCAUUUUCUCCUCCAUCCCAACAGCGGCAGCAACACCAGGAGCCGCACCAACGCUGCCAACGCCCUCAUCAUCUCCUCUAGCCCAGCAGCAGCAACACCAGGAGAAGAGUAGCAGCAGCAACACCAACACCAGGAGGAAGAGCAGCAGCGGCAACACCAGGAGCAGUUGCAGUAACACGCCAACUGCACCAGCAUUGCCAAACGCCACCACCAUCCUGCCUCAGUUCAUCACCUUCCUCCCACCCGGCGUUGCUGCUUGAAGAAAAAGGGAGCACCUGCCUCGCGAGCAGCAGGGGAAGAAGAAGAAGAAAACAACUGCUGUCUUCGGGCAUCCUCUCCAUUGCCAGCAGCACCAUCAAAGCUGCCAAACAACAGCAGAACCACCGCGAGAGGGAAGAGCACCGUGAGAAACAGAAGAAGAAAGGAGAAGCAGAGGAGAACAGAGUAAGGGAAAACACAGUGAAGAAAGGGAAGAAAAGCUCACCACCGUCCAAGCCAUUCUCCGGUCAGCAACCGCCAGCAGCACCGCCAUCAGAGCCACCACAGGUCAGCCCUCUGCCCCUUAUCUCGUUUUACUGUUCAUCUUCUUGCAUGCGGAACGUGCACUGUGCACGUUCUGCAAGCAAGAAAAUAAUUAGCCGGUUACUGUACAUGUGCACAGUAACCAGCUAAUUAAUUAACGGGUUGCUAUGCGUGUACAGUACCCCGGUUACUAUGCGUGUACAGUACCCCGAUGUACAGUGACCCCGUUUACUGUUGUUUUGGGCUGGAACCCCAGCCCAGCCCAUGCUGCUGGGCUGAGUCCAGCCCUGUAGAAAGUAGACCCGUUUUAUUUUGGGCCGAUUUCGGCCCAGUCUCCUUUCGGGCCGGGUCUGGCCCAUUCGAACAAAAAAAUUCUUCAAAAAUUAUUUCAAAAAAAAUGUGAUUUUCUCUAAAUUUAUUACUGUAUUUUGAUCAAUAUCGGUUUGUAUUUUUAUACUGUAAAGAUACAAAUCCGGUAUUAAAAUACCCGGUUUUCGUCAAGACAAAAAAUAAAAUAAGUUAAAAAUGUUUUGUUUUCGUGCAUACGGCCUAGUCUCUCCAACAUAUAUAUAUAAAUAUUAUAACAUCAUAUUUUCACACAACAAAGGAAAUUUCAAAAAAACAAUAUAUGUAUUAGCAUGCAUUUUGGCUUUAAUAACCAGUUUAUUCAAGCCAUGAGAACUAGGCCAAUAUUUCAAAAAUUCUAAAAAAUCUUUUUGUCCUCUUUUAGUAUAUGGGAUUACGAAUUUAUACGUAAAACGUAUUCCUGAAAUUAAAAAUAUGUUUUUUACAUAGACGUUAGAACGGUUAGGUUUUUUACCCGAUAAGAUAAGGACCUCCUUAUUGAGGAGGACUUUUCUUGAACCAUGGACGGACCAACAACUAGGAAACACAACGAGACCUUGAAUUUUAUCAGACAAAUGAACAAUGCAGCUUACCUUAGGUAGGGCGUAUUUGGGGUGCUAAUACCUUCCCUUUACGCAACCAGUCCCCGUACCCAAUCUCUGAGACCAGUUAGGGUUCCUAGUGACCAAAAUACUAGGUGGCGACUCCCAUUCCAUUUUCCACCAACAAAAGACAAUAUUUUCUUGUCUCCCCAUAUUUGUCAGAUAGAUACCAUACACCACUUCCUAGAUUUUAAAGUGGAAAACUCGCCGCGACGUCGCGCACCGUGCGACAAGAAAGUGUCAUAUAUGCCUCCUUAAUGGCGUGAGGAACACUGACCCGCAGCUUUUCAAUUAAAAUAAUAAAUACAUCAUGAAAAUAAUAAAACGCCCCCAUGGUCCUCUUAAUUACACAAAUAUCCGUAUAAAAAUACCAAAAUACCCCUAAAUGCAAAGUUUUUUUUUUCUGAGGCUAAAAGCGUUAUAUGACUGUACUUGGAAAUUGAAAAAAUCCAAAUACCCUUGUAAUAGAAAAUCAAAGAAACAUCUCGUGAAAAUAUAAGAAAUUAAAAGUGAAACUAUUGUUAUAAUCUACAAUAAAAAAUCUCUUAAUAUAUAGUGAUUUUCUGACAUCAUUUAGUUUUUGUUAUAAUUGAGCUGUUCUCGUGAAAAUAUUGGAAUUUAUAAAUAAUUUUUAUACAAGGUGUCUUAUAUCUAUGUAAGAAUAAGAAGUAUAAUUUAGGAUUAUCUUGAGUGGUAUGGUUAUGUACUAAGUAAUCACAUCUAACAGACUUUCUUCUUUAACCAUGUUGAGCGCGAUAUGACAUGAACGGAGGAUGGUUACAUGAAUAUGCCUUUACGGGCCGUUUAUUUUAUUUUUAAUUUUUUUUUGUAAAAACUGUGUUUUAUGAUUUUUUUUUUUAAAAAAAUUAUUGCUUGAAAUUAAUUUUUUUAUGUUUUUAGAUUUGUUAAUAUCAAAAUUAAUUUUUAAAAAAUAAAAUAAAAAUAUUAUUUUCAUGUAUUUCUGAAUGAAAAAUAUUUUUAAAAACAAUCGCUCUCACAUUUACGAACAAUAUUUUAAUAUAUAAAGGACCCAGCAAGUUGGAUUAUAUUUUGACUUGGGGUAAUCCUCAAAGUGUGGCUUGGUUAACCUGUAGGGUUUGGACAAUGCUUUCACUCAUUGUUAUUAAACCCGGCCCGGCGGGUCGACCAGAGACCCAGUCGACCCGGUAGCUGGACCGGUCCGGGUUUAAUAAAAGAUUGGCUGGGGUAAUAGCCAGGCCAAACCCGGGCGACCCGGCAUGUCGAUCCAUGACCCGAGUGACCCGAGCGAACCCGAACGAGACCGGGUGUUUUUUUUUUUCAAAUGUGAGAUUUCAAACCCAUUAGUAUAUAUACUUUAUGUUUCCAAGAAAAAAGUCAUGUUUUUUCAAUGUGGGAUAAAAAAAAACUUUUUGGUUUAAAUACUUCAACUUAAAAGGAUAACAUAGUAUCUUUUCAAUGUGGGAUUUGAAGCUCUUUCGUAUAUAUACUCUAUGUUCCCAAGAAAAAAAUCAUGAUUUUUCAAUGUGGGAUAAAAAAACUUUUUGGUUUAAAUAUUUCAACUUAAAAGAAUAACAUAGUAUCUUUUUAAUGUGGAAUUUGAAGUCCUUUCGUAUAUAUACUCUAUGUUCUCAUGAAAAAAGUUAUGUUUUUUCAAUGUGGAAUUUGAAACCCCUUAGUAUAUAUACUCUAUGUUCCCAAGAAAAAAAAUCAUGUUUUUUCAAUGUGAGAUAAAAAAACCUUUUGGUUUAAAUAUUUCAACUUAAAAGGAUAACAUAAUAUCUUUUCAAUGUGGAAUUUGAAGUCCUUUCGUAUAUAUACUCUAUGUUCCCAUAAAAGAAGUUAUGUUUUUUCAAUUUGAGAUUUGAAACCUAUUAGUAUAUAUACUCUAUAUUCCCAAGAAAAACGUCAUGUUUUUUCAAUGUGGGAUAAAAAAAAUUUGGUUUAAAUACUUCAACUUAAAAGUUUAACAUAAUAUCUUUUUAAUGUGGGAUAAAAAACUUUUUAAAAUAUUAUUUUAAACUUCAUUAUUUACAAUAUGUGUAACCUAUAUUUACAUGGAUUUUUUUCAUAUGAAAUAUUAAAAUUUUAAUUUUUUCGGGUUGAUCCGGGUUAACCCGAGUUGAUCCAUAAAACCCGGAACCCGGCCCUUUAGCCGGCUCAACCCCAAGCCGGGUUUAAUAACUAUGCUUUCACCUUGGCAUCAACUCAGGAAGAGUAGACGAAGAUGCCUUUCGUCUAUAUUUGACUCGGAGUAUAGAUAAUUCUUUUGUAUUGACUUGGAGUCAACGUGCAUGGAAGCAAGUUGAGUAUUUAAGGAUCCAGAGAGGCGAUAUUUAUGUAGUAACGUCGCCUAGAAGUCUACAAUGGUGUACUAAGGAGGCUAAAAUUAACGUUGCUGGUAAUAUAUUAUUAUGGAUUAAAUGUGUAAAAUCUUUAGUUUUUUUUUUCAAUUUGGUUUUUAAUUUAUUUAUUUUUUAUGAUUUAGUCCUGAAUGUGUAAAAUCUUCUCAAUUAGGUGUUUUUUUAACCUUUAAAGUUCAUAAGAAAAACAUAUAUAAACUCGGAUUGAUUUUUAGUUUUGGGUUGAUUUCCGUUUUUAUAACGGUUUUUUGAGCUCAAUGAUAGAUUUAUCAUGGUUUCUAAGAUGUUUUGUAUGUAUUUUAAGUAAACAAUGGGUUGAAAAUGGGUUUUUGGGUCAAAAAAGUUAAUCCCGAUUUUUUCAGCCAUUGUGGUAGCCGAAAUCUAAACAAAUCAAACGACUCGUCCUCCAUUUUUUUUUUUCAAAAAAAAUUGGGACAAAUGACAUUCUACAAAAAAAAAAAAAAGAGUUAAAUCACGGGGGGCCUGCCAGUGCAGGCUCGCAUGUGGAACCUAACAAAAUGGGUGAGGCGUCCAAACCCAACACAGAGUUUGGCCUUUGUUUUUUUUUUUGUAAAUUAUUAUUUUUUAAUUUUUUUUUAAAUUAAUGAUUUUUUUUCUCUAAUUUUUUUUUUCAGAUUAUCAGAUUAUAUUUAUAAUAUGUGCAACCACGCUUGGUGUAUUUUUCCUCUUUUAUUCUAUUCAAUCAAUUUAAUUUGUAUCUUUAUUUUUAUUAUCAUUUUCUUUAAUAAAAAAAUUAUUUUGAUAAAUAAAUUUAGCAAAUAUAAUCAAAUAAAUUUCUUAUAUUUUAGAAUUAAAUAUCUACAUCAACACCUAACUCUUAAUUUUCAAAGCUUUAUACUUUUCGCAGCUUUAUACCUUAGAAAAUGAUACCUCAAUUUUGUACUUAUGGACUCUGUUUUGCUUGGAAACCUCUGAAGGUGUAGCCUGUCACCGUGAGUCAACACCUAGUCUUCAGCUUUAUUAAUGCAUAUUAUUAAUUAAUGCAUAUUAUUAUCUUCCAUCAUAUGUGGAUAGAAUCCACUCUUACUUUUCAAAGGUGGCUUAUUCAAUAAUGCGAAGUAUUUGAUACGUUCAUUAAUUAUCUUGGGCACGUGUGGACUUAAUUUCAAGAAUAGUUCCCUUCGAAUGCAUGCUGCUAAAAAUCAUGGUGGCUAUAAAUAGCUAGGAGCGGUGGAUAGGAGGAGAGCAUAACCAUUUUAGUCACAUAGAUUUCCAAGAUGAACUCGAAGGCCUUUCUUAUCGCAUGCAUUCUCUUAGCUACCAUCGUCUUCUCUCCCCUAUCCACUUGCACUGCUCGAGAUUUGGCCGAGCGAGGUGAGAUUUUAUUUCCAUCAUUAACUUCAGAAAAGCAGUUCAUUUUGUGUGCGUGUGCGUGUAGUCUCUUUGUGUAUUGCAGCAUUAAUUAACUUAAGAUAAGCAUUUCAUGUUAUAUAUUAUUUAAUUAAUCUGUCGUGGGCUAUCUUAUAUAUAUAUAAAAAGAUGAUUCUGCUAUAAUAUCAGAUUAUGUCAACAUGAAUUUGCUAUAACAUGCGUGAAUCUUGCAGACGCAAGUGGAUCAAACAACCCCCAUAAACCAGUGUUCGGUUGCGGAAGGGGUAAGCGAUAUUGCGUACCUAAAACACCACCACCAUGCAGAAAUCUUUACAAGCGUAAUUGUUAGGAGCAAGCAAAGUUGAGUGCUUAAAAGUAUGGAGAGCUUCUGCUGUCUUUAUCAGUAUGUAAAAUGAUCAGAACUAUUUAUG